RNAcentral lists this ribosomal RNA (489 nucleotides) under uncultured bacterium. RNAcentral's name for it is "bacterial SSU rRNA". It matches the Rfam family "Bacterial small subunit ribosomal RNA", at positions 21 to 507 of the family's 1533-position model. The record is from RNAcentral.
GGCUCAGAUUGAACGCUGGCGGCAUGCCUUACACAUGCAAGUCGAACGGCAGCACGGGGCAACCUGGUGGCGAGUGGCGAACGGGUGAGUAAUGCAUCGGAGCGUGCCAUUGAGUGGGGGAUAACGUAGCGAAAGUUGCGCUAAUACCGCAUAUUCUGUGAGCAGGAAAGCAGGGGACCGCAAGGCCUUGCGCUCUUUGAGCGGCCGAUGUCAGAUUAGCUAGUUGGUGAGGUAACGGCUUACCAAGGCGACGAUCUGUAGCGGGUCUGAGAGGAUGAUCCGCCACACUGGAACUGAGACACGGUCCAGACUCCUACGGGAGGCAGCAGUGGGGAAUUUUGGACAAUGGGCGCAAGCCUGAUCCAGCCAUGCCGCGUGAGUGAAGAAGGCCUUCGGGUUGUAAAGCUCUUUCGGCCGGGAAGAAAUCGCAUGGGUUAAUACCCUGUGUGGAUGACGGUACCGGAAUAAGAAGCACCGGCUAACUCCGUG